RNAcentral lists this unclassified non-coding RNA (307 nucleotides) under plant metagenome. Its description in RNAcentral is "partial contains 5.8S ribosomal RNA, internal transcribed spacer 2, and large subunit ribosomal RNA". The stretch from base 1 to 105 matches the Rfam family "5.8S ribosomal RNA", at positions 50 to 154 of the family's 154-position model. The record is from RNAcentral.
GAAAUGCGAUAAGUAAUGUGAAUUGCAGAAUUCAGUGAAUCAUCGAAUCUUUGAACGCACAUUGCGCCCGCCAGCACUCUGGCGGGCAUGCCUGUUCGAGCGUCAUUUCAACCCUCAGAACCCCUUGCGGGAUCUGGCGUUGGGGAUUGGCAUCCAGCCAGCCCCGAAAUCUAGUGGCGGUCCCUCCGCGACCUCCCCUGUGCAGUAGCGAUACCUCGCAGCGGGACAGCGGUCUGACCACGCCGUAAAACCCCCAACUUCUCAAGCUUGACCUCGAAUCAGGUAGGAAUACCCGCUGAACUUAAGC